This 37006-nucleotide long non-coding RNA is filed under the name Gossypium barbadense (sea-island cotton). RNAcentral describes it as "long non-coding RNA (GBAR_LNC006045)". Lineage: Eukaryota; Viridiplantae; Streptophyta; Magnoliopsida; Malvales; Malvaceae. The record is from RNAcentral.
AGGAGAAUCUGACCGUUGCAAGGCCACCAGAAGUAUCAGCUGCCGAAGGUGCAGGUUUGCCUGUUGCUGGUCUUACAGCUCACCAGGCACUCACCCAGUCGGCUGGGGUCAAGCUUGAUGUAAGUGGCCAGCAAGUAAACCUCUUGAUUACUGCUGCUUCAGGUGGUGUAGGUCAAUAUGCAGUUCAACUAGCAAAGCUUGGAAACACCCAUGUGACAGCCACUUGUGGGGCUCGCAAUCUGGAUUUUGUCAAAAGCCUCGGAGCAGAUGAGGUUCUUGACUACAAAACUCCCGAUGGUGCAGCUCUAAAAAGCCCUUCGGGUCGCAAAUAUGAUGCAGUGAUCCACUGUGCAAUGGGCAUUCCUUGGUCUACCUUUGAACCUAAUCUAAGUUCAAACGGGAAGGUAAUCGAUAUAACCCCGGGUCCUAGUGCUCUGCUAACUUUUGCUAUGAAAAAGCUUACCUUCUCAAAGAAGAACCUGGUACCACUGCUAUUGUCACCUAAGAAGGAGAACCUUGAAUAUCUCGUUAACUUAGUGAAAGAUAAGAAGCUUAAGACGGUAAUUGAUUCAAAGCAUCCCUUAAGUAAGGCUGAAGAAGCAUGGGCUAAGAGCAUUGAUGGCCAUGCCACUGGUAAGAUCAUUGUGGAGCCUUAAUCUAUGAAAUAUUACUUUAUACUUACUACAGGGAUGCUUGAAGGACAUAUUGCUUGUUUGUAUAAUUAUGAUUUUUUUGCACUUUGAAAUUUAUGUUUAUGGAAUGUUUGGUUAAUAUAUUGCAAAAUUUUCUUAACGUGUUGUAAGCUUCGAAUUCACAAAUUUAACUCUGCUUUCAUGUGGCUCCUACAUCUCCUUGCUUUUCUUGCUUGAUAAUUUGAACAAUGAAAUGUUGUUGGAAGUUGGACCAUCUAGUGUUUUUUAUUUCCCAGUUAAUGGUUAUUUUUCCUUGUAAUAUCAUUUUCAAGGUUUAAAUUUGCAAUAUUUCUUUGAUAGUGUAGUGUCUCUUAUCAUUACAUUUAAUACUUGUUGGUAUUUGUAUACUUUUUUAUAUUCCAAUUUUUUUUAAAUUAAAAUUUUGCUUUAUCAAUAUUUAUGAUAUUAAAAUAUUUGAAAGUUUAAUUUUGUCAAUUUUAUUUAGUUCUAAAAUAUUUAAAAAUGAUUAAAUUUUUUUUAUUGUAACACAUUAAUUUUGAUUUUUAUCGUUGUCAAUUAAAUUGAUCUUGUGACAUUAAAUUAUUCAUCAGUUAAAAUUAUAUCUUUGUAGAGUUUUUAAAAAUAAUAUAUGGAAUAAUUAUUGUUUAAGUACAUAUUGUACAUCUGUUACCUUCUCAUCAGUUUGUACUGAUGAUUAAGAAUCAUGCAAUCUAUGGUUGAUGUAUGCGAUUCAAUCAAAAAUCUAUCAUCAUAGUUCAUGCAUUGACUAAUCAUUUCAACUGAUUUUUUUAGCCUUGACUAUAAUAAUUUAUUGGUCAAAUUUUACUUAUUUGUACUUGUAGUAUGCGUAAGGUAUGAGUCUAAUUUUUAUAAUUUAAUUUAUAAAAUUUUUGAAUUGAUUUGUUUUAGUUAUUAUGAUAAUAAUUAAAUUUAUUUCAAUUAAAUUUUAUUUUAAUUUUAUAUUAUGUUUAAAGUUGUAAAAUUUAUCCAUAUUCUCUUAUUUAGUAAAUCUUAGUUUUUCAAAAUUUGAAAUUUUAGUCUUGACGUAAAUGAUAAUCACUAAAUCUAUUAAUUGAUUUUUAUGAGUGAUAUGUUAAAAUAACAAGUUAACAUUGACAUAAUAUAUUUACCGCAUAAAAUUUUAAAAAUAAUAUAACUUAGUUUAACCAUUAUUAUUUAGUUAAAAUUUUAAAAAAUAAAUAUUCAAAAUCAAACAAGUUAAAGUAAAAAACUAAACACACAACUUUUAUAUAUAUAGUACAAUAAUAAAUAGUAUAAAUAAAUUUAAUCUAUUAACAAUUAUUAGAUUUCGUCAUAAGGGUGAAAAAUGUAUGUAAUAAAUAUAAUAACAAAAAAUAGUUUUGGAUGAAGUGAUAAAGUUAAAAGAUUAAAAAUCAUAAUGUUUUGAGUUUAAAUCCCAUUAUCAUGGCUAUCUAAUUUUUUAGAUUUUAUAUGUAAAAGGAUAAAAUUACCUUUAAAAUUAUAUUUAGUAUUGAUUUAAAUGAGAAGUUUUUGAAAUAUUGACAGAUGUAGUGUAGAGCAGGUUGAGCUUUGGGCGAUUUAUGAUGGACUCCUUCUGACGUGGGUGUUAAUUGGGCUAAUAUUAUUGUCGAUAAGAAUUGCGCUCAAGCUGUGGAAGCCAUUUUAGAUAAAUCUUCUGGGCAUUUGAACAGGGAUUUGGUCUUGAGAAUCCAGGAGUUAUGUAGGAGAUAAUGGUAGGUGAUCAUACAACAAACUCUUAAAAAAGCCAAUGUAGCUGUGCUUACACUAGUUAGGAUGAUGAGAGCUUUCCCUUAUGGUCUGAUAGCGUUUACGGAGACUUCGACAGUGGUCGUGGAGCAAUUACGAUUGAAUGUUCGGCUUAUGUGUGAUGAUAUUAGAAUAAUUUUAUAAUUGCUUCCAUUUUUUUAUCUAAAAAAAUAAGAAGUUUUUAAUAAAUUCAUUAUUGAGUUGUGACUCAAUUGAAAAUGAUAUUAAUUUAAUAAAAGACUUAAAUAUGAUAAUAAACAUUUAAAUAUGAUAAUAGAUAAAUAUUUUUUAAAUAUGAAAUAAAUAAUACAACUUUAGCAGCUACCAAAUUCAACAUUUCAAGAGAUUUCUUGCAAAAUCAUCCAGGGUAUAUCCGUCAAAUUAACAAUGUGGUCCCCAUUUGUUUAUAUUGUUAUGGCUAGCGGUUAACAAUACAAUUCGCUCCUACGGCAUCCAUACGACAUUCUUUGAACUUCAUUUUUUCUUAUAAAAAAAAGCUUCGAUUGAUCUCUUUUAGUGAAAGAAAUGGCUGAAACUCUUAUGCAUGCUUUACAAUAUAACAGCUAUGGCGGAGGCGCUGCUGCUUUGAAGGUAAAAAUCUACUUCAUUAUGAUGAUCCAUUUUGCUUUCUUUUACUUUUUUCUUACUGUUUUAUCAUAUAAGUUUAGUUCCUUUUUUUAGUGGAGACUUCAAUUAAGGUUGUUAAUCUAGUGUUUAUAUUGAUCUAAGUUUGCUCUUCGGAUUCAAAAUUCUAUUAGUUUAACUUGUGAUUGAAGAAAGCAUGAAUAUGAUUUCAAUGAGUGCCGUGAGUUAUUAAGGAAUUGGAAUUUUCUGGAACGGAAAUGAACUAUAGGGAAUUUGCUAUUCGGAAUUAAAAUUUCACGACAAGGAUAUGAGAUUGUGAGGUUGACUUGAUGGAGAAGUUAAGUGUUGACCGAUUUUAUCGUCGGAUUCAAAAUUUUAUUUGUUAAAUUUGUGAUUGAAAGCAUAUAGAUAAUUUGAAUGAGUACUCCGAUGCACUAGGAUGCUGGAAUUUUCAGGAAUUGAAGUAAAUUAAGUAUUUGCUCUUUGGAAUUAAAAAUUCCAAAAAAGAUCUGUGACUUAUGGGCUAGGACUUGAUAGUGAAGUUAAGUGUUAACUGAUUUUAUCGUCGGAUUCAAAAUUCUAUUAGUUAAAAAAUUGUGAUUGAAAGCACAUUCUGGAACGGAAGUAAAUAAGGAUUUGCUCUUGGAAGAGAUCUGAGACCGAGAGGUUGAUAGGUUGAUACUCUUUUUAUUUUUAUUUUUUAAAUUUAAUCGGCAUGCUUUAUUAAUACCACAAAACAAGACAAAAUUGGUUGUUUGGAAAACUCCACCCACAGCAACACUAAACCACCAAAAACAAACAAUUAAAACAAAAGAAAUUUUUUAUAUGGACCUGCUUGAUAUAAACUUGAAAAGAAAAUUUACCAGUGACUUGAUGUCAUAACAGCUUUGAAUUUUUUGUGCUUGUUACAGCAUGUUGAAGUUCCAAUACCCACUCCAAAUAAAGAUGAAAUAUUGCUUAAACUGGACGCAAUUAGUCUAAACCCAGUUGACUGGAAAAUACAGGAAGGGGUGCUUCGUCCAUUUUUACCUAGAAAAUUCCCCUGCAUACCUGGUAGUUUAUAUAUUUUGUUCUUUUCACUUUUUCUGUCUUGAAAUUUUCUUGAGAAUUUUUUUUGUCAAUGAUGUUUGAACCGGAUCAGACUGGCCAGUUAGACUAGGAAUAGGCCAAGGUAUUGAUCCGGAGAAUGACUUUGAAUAGAUACGGACCAGUUGAACCAACGGUUGGAUUGGGAACUAGUCUAGGUAUCAGUUUAGAGAAUGACUUUGAACUGGUUUGGAUUGGGAACCAGUACUGGCCGGUUCAACAGAUUAAAAAACCAGUUGAACCGAGUAUUUUUAGUUUUUUUUUUUAAUUGAACCAAUCGAAUUCAUCAAACCAGCGAACGAGUGGCCUGAUUUCUAAAACACUAUUGUUAAGUAUAUCUCAAGUUACGUGAGUCUUCACAAUCUGUUUUUGUUGUAUUACUAUGUUGAAUUCCCUAGCAGGGCUUUCUGAAAAAUUUACUUAGUAUCUGCCGGAUUAUUCAACUUGUAAUCUAAUUUGCGUCGAUUUACAUUGUGGAGUUUGCUUUAGUGGUAACUAUUGAUGGGAAAAGAAUGUGUCUAUUUAACUCAAGUUAUCAUUAAAGGACAGAAUUUGUCUAUUUGUUAAGGCAUAUCCUUUUUCUAUAAUUAACCAACAUAAUAAUAAGCUGGUUGGCAGGUCUCUUAGUUUAAGCAAUUGUGGUUAUUGAUGGUAAUUUUGGCACCCUCUUGUCAUGGAAGAUUUGAUAUCUUAAAUAUAUUUUUUUUGCAGCUAGUGAUGUAGCAGGAGAAGUCGUAAAGAUUGGACCAGGAGUUACAAAUUUCAAAGCUGGGGAUAAAGUUGUAGCCAUGCUUCAUCAUUUUGUAAGUUCUAGUUCUCAUUCUUAAUCCCCCCCUCCCCAAGUCAGCAUAAAAAGUCUGGCCAGUAGGCUUAGUUUUCAGAAUCAGAUAGGUGGUUGAACUGAUGAUACCACCAUUUUGAUUAAAUAAUUAAUUAAAAAAUAUAUAAAAUAUAAAAUAUAAAAUCUGAUUUAAGUGGUUCAACCAGUCCGUAUUGAUUCCUGAGUCAAAAGGUUCAAAGCCUUCUUCCGGAUAGGUACUCUAGCUGGAUCUUUGUCCAACAGUCCGAUCAGCUGGUCUAAUCUGGUUCAAACAAUCUUGCCGGCAUGUCAUUAAUCAUUCUGAGAACAAUCAGAAAGGAGAUUUCUUCUUGAAGAGUGGAAGAAUCACCAGUAUUUUACUAGCUUAAUGGAUCACAAUUUGAAAAAUAGUCAAUGAUAUUUGUAUUUUUGGUAUUAGCUCGAGUAAUUAAUUGGGCGUUGAGCUUGGUAGGACUUUAGGCAACAAUUCUUGAGGUAAAAUAUGGAUCUCCUCAUGGCCAAAAGAUCAACUUUUGAAUCCAAUAAUGAUGGAAUGCGCGUAAAUUGUAGCCCCAUAAAAAGAAAUUCUAAGGACUGGUGCUACAUUUUUUGUUCUAGUAAACCAUGUUGGUCUUCCAAUGAGUGAUCUUGAUUAGCUUAGUCAUGAGAACCGCUUAGAAUUGACCUGCUUGCCUGUUUGGAUUAAUCGGUAUCGUGUUUAGAAUGCAACCAUCCUUUGUCUACGUGACUAUCAUUACUCUCAUUAUGUGGCCAUUUGGCUGAGAGAAACUUAGAUAUCCUUACUGCAGUCCAGUGGUUCAGUGAAUUUAUCUUCUAUUUAUAUUAUCAACGAAUCAGUAUCAGUUAUGUCGAUUGCUAUGACUCUCUUCUAUAAUGAAUUAUAUUUACAAUGAUAGACCGGAGGUGGACUAGCUGAAUAUGCUGUGGCUAAGGAGAAUCUGACAGUUGCAAGGCCACCAGAAGUAUCAGCUGCCGAAGGUGCAGGUUUGCCUGUUGCUGGUCUCACAGCUCACCAGGCAGUUUCCCAGGCAGCUGGGGUCAAGCUUGACGGAAGUGGCCAGCAAGUAAACCUCUUGAUUACUGCUGCUUCAGGUGGUGUAGGUCAUUACGCAGUUCAACUAGCAAAGCUUGGAAACACACAUGUAACAGCCACUUGUGGGGCUCGUAAUCUGGAUUUUGUCAAAAGCCUUGGAGCAGACGAGGUUCUUGACUACAAGACUCCCGACGGGGCAGCUCUGAAAAGCCCUUCGGGUCGCAAAUAUGAUGCAGUGAUCCACUGUGCAGCGGGCAUUCCUUGGUCUACCUUUGAACCUAAUCUAAGUUCAAAUGGGAAGGUAAUCGAUAUAACCCCUGGUCCUAGUGCUUUCCUAACUUUUGCUAUGAAAAAGCUUACUUUCUCAAAGAAGAAGCUGGAACCACUCUUUGUGUCACUUAAGAAGGAGAACCUCAAUUAUCUCGUUAACUUGGUGAAAGACGGGAAGCUUAAGACGGUAAUCGAUUCGAAGUAUCCCUUAAGUAAGGCUGAAGAAGCAUGGGCUAAGAGCAUUGAUGGUCAUGCCACUGGUAAGAUCAUUGUGGAGCCUUAGUCUAUAAAAUAUUACUUUAUUAGACUAACUGCAGUUAUAAGCAAUUAAAACAAUAAACAGCGAUGCUUGGAGGUCAUGUUGCUUGUAUGGAUAAUUAGGAUUUGUGGACUUUGAAAAUUAUGUUUAUGAAAUGUAUCAUGUAUGGCUAAUAUUACAUUUUGGUUGCAAAAUUUUCUUAAUAUGUUGUAAGCUCUGUAUUCACAAAUUAGCUCUUCUUUUGUGUGGUUCCUACAUUUCCUUGCUUUUUGGUUUGACAAUUUCAACAAUGAAAUGUGAUUAUGUUGGACUUGUAUGCUUUUUCUUAUUAGUUCAUAUUUGAGGUUUGAAUUGUAUGUAUUUUAACUAUGUUCAUAUUUCAAUUUUUUAAUUAAAGUUUUGCUUAUAAAUUUGUUUUUAUGUAAAAAUAUUUAAUAGUUCAAAAUCUUUUUUGAAAAUAUGUGUUAAUUAUAUGAAUAAGUGAAUAUUUUAAUAUUUAUAGGGAUAAAUAUUAAAUUUAUACAUAAAUAUUGAUUAAACUUAUAAUUUGAUACAUAAAUUUUUAUUUGGUGUUAUUAUAUAAAUAAAAUUUAAAUUGCGGUUCAUAUGUAUAUAUAAAACUUUGAUUUAUUUCAAUUGUACAUGUUUAAAAGAAAUAAAUACAUACAUUCUUUUGUCAUAUUGAAUUAAUAUAAUUGUGUGGUAAUAUAAUGUAAAGUUGUUUUAACUUGAUAAUGUAGUUAUAAAAUCAAAAUUUAUAUAUGAUAUUGCACAUUGAAUCAAAAAUGAAAGAAUUAUUAUUAUAUUGAAAUUUAUAUCAACAAAUGAUUUUUAAAUAUAUAAUUAGGAUAUAAAAAAAUAUAAAAUAUGAAAUUGUGAGAUAAUAAAAUGUAUUAAAAAUCGAUAGAAUUUUUAUAUUAAAAUUUAUAUGAAUAAAUGAUUUUUAAAUAUAUUUAAAAAUUAUAAAAUAUGAAAUUUUGAGAUAAUAAAAUGUAUUAAAAAUCGUUGAAAAUCAGUAAUUAUUGGCAAGGAGAAAAGUAGAGGUUUGAAAUGGGACAAGGCGGCAAGUUUGAUACAACGAGUAGAAGAAGAAAUCAAUUGUAGCACAUUCAAGAAGUUAUGAUUGUAAAAAAUAAUUUACAAUACAUGAACUUAUUUAUACAAUAUAAAUAAUUUACAGAGAAAUUCUCAUAUAAAUAUACAAACUUUAAAAAUAUAUUUAAUUUGAUUAUAGAAUAAUAUAUGAAAUAAUACAAUAUGAACUAAUCCAAGGUGAAGGGAGAAAAAUUUUGAAGGAUAAAAAUUAAAUUUUAAUUUUUUAUAAUUUAUAUUUUUAUAAUUUUUAAAGGAUUAAAUUAAAUUUUUAUCAUUUUUAGAAGAUUAAUCUAAUAUUUUUUUUAUUAUUUUAAGAGAUUAAAGUAUAAUUUUACUUUUACUAAUUUAAAAUUUUAAAAUUUUUAAAAAAUCUAAAUGACCAAUUUCCUGUUUUAAGGGGUCGACUCCUGCUAGCUCUUUAGAUCCAUUACUGUACAAUAACACACUUGGGUGAAAAAUAAAAUAAAAUAAAACAAUAUUUUUCUUAAAAUAUUAAUAAUUAUAAAUAAAGUAACAAAAAGUUGAAUGAAACUGAUUCCUUUUUUCAUGUAAGCGAAUUUUAUUUAAAAUUUUGUUUAUAUUGUGAGUAGUUGCUAAAAUUGUGAAAGUGGAAAAACCUUUUUUAACCUUUUUUUUGUGAAUUUAUUAAAAAAAAUUAAAAUUAUUAAAUUACAUGUCUAUCUUAAUCAAAGCCAUUUAUUGUAGUAUAUUAACUUGAUUUUUAUCAUUUUCUUGUCCUUCGAUUAAUUCAUCCUCAAGUAUCUAUAAUAACAGUUUAACAUAAUAAUACAUAAAAAGUAUAGAAAUGUAACCAAAGGUUUUCUGCGAAUUUGUUGGAAGAGGGGUAUACCCGUUAAUUUAGCUAAAUGCAGGCCUCAUUUCCAUGUCUGAAAUUUCACUAUAAAAACAACCCCUCAAAGCCCAAUUAUCUAAUUGCAAAAGCUACAUAAUUUAAUCACUUUCUGGUCCUUCCCGCUUUCUCUUUUAUCUUCUCAAUUCUCAGUUACCUUCUUCAUUCAUUUUCUACUCACAACUGAAAAUGGCUAAGAAUACUAUGAUGCGUGCUGUUCAAUAUAACACUUAUGGCGGAGGCGCCGCUGCUUUGAAAGUAAUCUUCUUCAUCCUUUUAUUUGCUUGCUUUUUCAUUUUUUUUGUCUUUUUGUUAGCAUUUUUUCUUAUAAUUUUCCGAGAUCAAAAGUUAAAACAAAGUAAAAAUGAUCUAAUUAUGAAUCUCAUAACUCUAUUUUAUCAGAAUUGAAUUUAAUUUAACAAAAUUCGACAUUAUGAAAACUGGAAAUUAAUUCAGUUUCAACUACUGAUUUUUGCUUCUUCUUCUCUCUUUUUUUUUCUUAAAAUUGAUUAACUAUCGAGUUUUACUAUUUCAUUUUUGCCCAACUGUUGAUCUUUAAUGUCAGUUUUAAGGUGAUGUUUGACAAUAUGAAGAUGAACUUAUUGGACUAACAUCUCAGUUUUUUUAUAGAAGAAUAUAAAUAAAUUAAAAUAGAGGAUUAAUUUCCGAGUUUUUAUAAGGUAGGAGUAUAAAUUCAUAAAACGGUUAGAAAUGGAGAUUUGAGUCCAGAUUGUUUAUCUAGUGUGAUUAUAUUGACCAAGGGAGAGUAAGAAUGGAUAAUUAAAGAAAGGUUUUAAAUUACUUUUAAUUUACUAAGUAAUAUAGAAGUUCAUAUUGUUUAUGCUUUUGGUGUUGAUUUAUGUAGGUAUUAUAGCAAAAUAAAAAGUUGCUAAAUCUGAAGCUUAGCUUAGUCAUCUUUAACAAUAAUAUCCGACGACUUCGGAUUUCGAAACUUAAUAUAUACAAUCUUUCUCUUACGUAAAAAGAUAAAAAAAAAAAAGAAAAAAAAGUAGGCAUUGAAAGCUUUGUUUGAGUCAAAGCUCUGAAAUUCCAAUUUGUAUUGUGGAAGACAGAGAGGUCUAUCCACUCGUUUGCAGUGAAACAACUUCAUGAUAUCAAGGUGUAUAUUACCCUGCAUGUGACUGUGGUGGUAUCCUACACUGUAGGCAUGGAUGCAUGUAUGUAUGCAUGCAUCUGUUUAUGUAUGUAUGUAUAUGCUUUGUAUUGUGGAAGGCAGAGAGGUCUAUCCACUCAUUUGCAGUGAAACGACUUAAUGAUAUGAAGGUGCAUGUUACUCCUGCAUGUGGCAGUGCGUGCGGGCGUGUUGUUCAAAACUCCAAAAGGGAUAUGAAACUGAGAGGGUUCAUGGUACAAUUAUAACAUAUAUCUGAAAAUGUAUUUGCUGCAGCAUGUUGAACUUCAAGUUCCUUCUCCAAAACAAGAUGAAGUUUUACUAAAAAUGGAGGCAACUAGUAUAAAUCCAUUUGACUUGAGAAUACAGAAAGGGAUAGUGUGGCCAUUUUUGCCUCGCAAAUUCCCCCACAUACCUGGUACCUUCCAUUUAUCUCUCCAUCUGCAAACAUUGCACUUCUCUUCAAUGCCAAUAUUUCAAAUGCCUAUUUGGCUAAAGAAUUUUUUGUUGGAGAAGGUAUUGAUGCAGCAGGAGAAGUCUUUGAGGUCGGAUCAGGAGUCAAGAAUUUCAAAGCUGGCGAUAAAGUUGUGGCCGUGCUUUUUGUAAGUUGCCAUUCUUAUUCUUCCGGUCUAUGUUAUUCUGAUUUGAGUGCGAGUAUUUGUUACAUGUUUGACAAUAUGUAUCAGAUAAGAGUAUCAGAUACGAAUACGAGCUUCAGGGUAGCAUGGUAAUUCAAUUUGGAUAAAUAGUUUAUGGCAUUUGUGCAACCCCAAUAGUUCUUGAAGAAAAAUCUGAACUUUUUAAAGCUUUUUCAUAUAUUUGGAAGUCCCAAGGACUGUCGUGUCCCGUUACCUGUUCGAGUCUGUGUUCCACUUAAACUAUUUGUUGGUUAUUAUUGGAACAACCCCAAAGCCCCAAACUUUUGUGCCGUAUCUCUUUCGGUAUUGAGUCGUAUCAUGUUUAUAAUGCAAUCACCUUAUUUACAUGACUAUCAUUUCCGAGUAAGUGAUCCUCAGACUUUGUUUGUUUAAUAAAGGAGCUUUGUUUCAUCUGCAAUUUAGCAUCGUUUUAAGUCAUUGGCUAUGGCAAAUUAUUACGAAUAUAUAUUGCAAUGACAGAACAUAUGUGGAGGUGGACUGGCUGAAUUUGCUGUGGCGAAGGAGAAUUUGACAGUUUCAAGGCCUCCAGAGGUAACGGCUUUUCAAGGAGCAGCUUUACCGAUCGCCGGCCUCGCAGCUCACGAGUGUCUCCUCCGUACUCCCGGGUUCAACUACGAAAAAACCGGCCAGCAACUAAACCUCCUGAUUACUGCCGCAUCGGGCGGCGUAGGUCAAUAUGCAGUUCAACUAGCAAAGCUCGGAAACGCACACGUGACAGCCACUUGUGGCGCACGUAAUCUUGAUUUAGUCAAGAGCCUCGGAGCAGACGAGGUUAUCGACUACAAGACCCCUGACGGGGCAGCUCUCAAAAGCCCUUCUGGCCGCAAAUACGACGCUGUAAUCCACUGCGCAACCGGCUUUCCUUGGUCCACUUUCAAGCCCAAUUUGAGCACAAACGGCAAAGUAUUCGACAUUACUCCUACUCCUAGUGUUUUCAUGACUAACGCUUUACAAAAGCUUACCUUUUCAAAGAAACAAUUAGUUCCAUUGCUUAUGACACCUAAGAAAGAGAAACUCGAUUUUCUUCUUAAUUUUGUGAAAGAAGGGAAGAUUAAAGCCGUAGUCGACUCUAUACAUCCCUUAAGUAAGGCCGAAGAAGCAUGGGCUAAAAGCAUUGAUGGCCAUGCCACUGGUAAGAUCAUUGUAGAACCUUAAGUUUAUGGAGAUCUCAAUUCAUUAUUUAAUACAGGUGGUUUCAAUGCAAUAAAAUUGAUGAAAUUUGAGUUUCAUCAUGUUGUAAAUGAUAGCUAUGUAUAAUUAGGAUUUAUGAAUUUUGUUUUAAUGCAAUAAAUUUGAUUUUUCUCUAAACUUACAUAAUUUAUACUCUCCAACAGAGUUAGUAUCAUAAGUUGAUUGAAUAUAAAUUCAGCUGGACAAAGACGAAAAACACCUUUACUUUUCAAAGUAAAUUAUAUUAUUUUAAAAGUAUUUUUAUAGCAAAAUGUACACAAUAUGAUUUGGAACUUAUACCUCAUUAGUUUUCAUAUCUAUGUUUUACCAUUCAACCAAAACCUCAUUAACUUUUACAUAAAUUUAUUUAUUUCUUACUUAUAUCGUGGUGUACCUUGAUAUAAUUUUCUAUUAUAUAUAAUCUUAAUAGGCGGGGAGAAUCAAUUUAUAAUAUUAACUUUUAAUUUGUUAUGUUUAUCAAAUAAUCGAAAUCUAUUUAAAGUAAAUAAAUUAAUGACUUGAAAUUGGGCGCAACUUAAUUUUAGACUUAAUUAAGUUGAUAACAUACACUAAAAUCUUGUAUUCUCUUACUUGAAAAGAGAUAGUUAACCCUUUCAUCUAUUAAGUAAUUUUUUAAUAAUUUUUAAAGUUUUACGAGUUAAUUUUUUAUAAACAUUUUCACGUUUCGUAAAUUAAAUAUUUCUUUCAAUAUUUGUAAAAUGCUUAAUUUCUUAAAAUAUUAUUCACAUUUUAAGUAAUGUACUUUAAUGUUUUACGAAUUAAUUUCUUAAAUAUCGUUUCGAGUUUUAAGUAAGUUUUCAUGUAUCAAGUAAUUUUUUCAUGUAUUAAUUAAUUUUUCAAUGUUUUACGAAUUGUUGAAUUUUCAUAAAAAACCUUUUCAAGUUUUAAGUAGCCUUUCAUGGUGUUUCAUCAUUUUUCGAUUUAAAGAAAAAAUAAAAAUUAACUUAAUAAAUUAUUGAUGUUGUAAAUUAAAUGGAUGUCUAUAACCCCUAAUCAUAUUAAAGUAACAAAAUUUUUUUACUUCAUUUAUAAUCAGGAGAUCAUUAAAUGGAGUAAUUAAGAAAAUUUAGUUCAUUAAAUGUAAUUGAAUGUAAAGAAGCUUAUAAAUAGCACUUUGUAAGUGAAAAUAUGACUAUGAAAAUUUCUCUUGUAUUUUCAUCCACUUUUAUUUAUUGUUUUAUUAAUUUUUUUAUAACACGUUAUCAGCACGAGCUUUUACGAUUUCAUAGUGAAGUUCACGUCAUUUCGAAUUUAUAUAAUUUGCCUGUAUAACUCCCAUUAAAAUAUACGGUAUACGUAUUUUCAUAAUUAUUUUAUUUUAUUUUCUAGAUGAAAUAUUUGCUUUGGAUAACAUUCGAAUAUUUAUUUUUACAACUAAAAUCUAAUAAUGAUAGUUAUAUAUACAUGUUUUUUUUAAAAGAAAUUUCAAUUAAUGUAAUUUGUGUUAAGUUAUUAUUAUGACUAUUCCUCUUUAUGUCAAUAUUUGACAUGCAUAUUAUUAUUUAGCAAAUUUGGUAUAUAUAAUUGAAUUAUUUUACGAUUGAGAAUACUUAUUAUUUUAAUAAUAAUUUUUUUUUAUUUUGAUUCAAGUGAUUAUAAUGUCAAAUCUUGCUAAACUUGAAUUUGCGGCCUUAGACAUCUCAGGCAAGAAUUAUUUGUCAUGGGUGUUAGAUGCUGAAAUUCACCUAGAUGCUAAAGGUCUAGGAAAUACUAUAUUAGCAGAUAAAGAAGCAUCUAAUCAAGACAAGGCAAAAGCAAUGAUUUUCAUCCGUCAUCAUCUACAUGAAUGAUUAAAAGUGGAAUAUCUCACUGUGAAAUACCUUCUUGAGUUGUGGAAAAAUUUGAAAGAAAGAUUUGACCAUCAGAAAACUGUGAUACUCUCUAAAGCUCGUUAUGAUUGGAUGCAUUUACGGUUGCAAGAUUUUAAGACUGUAAGUAAAUACAAUUCAGAACUUUUCAAAAUUAGUUCUCAACUAAAAUUAUGUGGAGAAAACAUAAUUGAUGAGGACUGGUUAGAGAAAACAUUUUCAACCUUCCACGCUACUAAUGUGCUCUUGCAGCAGCAGUACCGUGAAAAAGGUUUUAAAAGGUAUUCUGAAUUGAUUUCAUGCCUUUUGGUGGUUGAACAAAAUAAUGAGCUAUUGAUGAAAAAUCAUGGAAUUCGUCCCACUGGUUCUGCUACAUUCACUUCACCAUUCCCUGAAGUGAAUGUAGCAGUACACAAUAAUUAUGAAAAUAGAAAAUAUAGAAGUCGCGACCGUGGUCGUGGACGUAGUGAGGGAUGUAGUCGAGGACGUAUUAGUAAUCGUUAUCAUGGUGGUCAUAACAAUGAUACUUCUAACCACCAGAAAAAGAAUAACAAUGAAAGAAAAGAUUAUUGAGAAUAUAUGCUACCGAUGUGGCAUGAAGGGGCACCAGUCACGUACUUGUCGUACGUCUGAGCAUUUAGUGAAACUUUAUCAAGCAUCCAUUAAAAGGAAGGAAAAGCAUUUGGAGACAAAUUUUAUAUCCCAAAAUGAUGAAAUAGAGGCAAAAGAUGAAGAUAUUCACUAUAAUACUAAAACUGACCAUGGCUACGAGGAUGAUAAAUUUAAUGACCUUAAUAAUAUAACUCACCUAGAUGUGGCAGGUUUAUUUGAGAAUCAUUAGAAAAAUUGAUGUUAUUUUGACAUUUUUAUGUUGUUUUAAGUAUAUUUUAUUUUCUUGCAUAAAGAAUAAUUUAUAUACUUAAUAAAUAUUUGCAAUGUUUCUCAUAUUAUAUUUUGUUUAUUUUUAUGAAGAAUAUGAAUAUUCAACAAAAUUUCGAUGAACCCAAAAUCAAUGAAGAUAUGUGUCUUGUAGAUAGUGCUACAAAACAUAUGAUACUCAAAGAUAAAAAAUAUUUUUCUCAUUUGACAAUGAGUAAUGCUCAUGUUAAUACAAUACCGGGUAGUUCAAAACUUAUUGAGGGUUCUGGAAGAGCUAUUAUAUUAUUACCUAAAGGUACAAAAUUUAUCAUUGAUGAUGCUUUAUAUUCCACUAAGUCUCAAAGAAAUUUAUUGAGUUUUAAAGAUAUUAGUCUUAAUGGAUAUCAUAUUGAGACUAUGAAUGAGAAAAAUAUUGAAUAUCUAUAUAUUACAGAUGUUGAAUGUGGAAAGAAAUAUAUUUUGGAAAGCUUACCUGCUUUUUCAUCAGGUUUAUAUUAUACACAUAUUAGUGCAAUUGAGUCACAUGUUACUACAAACCAGAAGUUUUUAGAACCACAUACUUUUACUAUUUGGCAUGACCGAUUAGGUCAUCCUGGAUCUAUUAUGAUGUAAAGAAUCAUGAAGAAUUCAAUUGGACACUCAUUAAAGAACCAAAGAUUCUUGAAUUCAAGGAUCUAUCUUGUAUCGCUUGUUCUCAAGGAAAAUUGAUUAUUAGACCAUCACUAGCUAAAGUUGGGAUUAAAUCUCCAGCAUUUUUGGAACGUAUUCAAGGUGAUAUAUGUGGGCCCAUUCAUCCACCAUGUGGACCAUUUAGAUAUUUUAUGAUAUUAAUAGAUGCAUUUAGUAGGUGGUCACAUGUGUGCUUAUUAUCAACUCGCAACCUGGCGUUUGCGAGACUACUUGCUCAAAUAAUUCGAUUAAGAGCACAAUUUCCAGAUUAUGCAAUCAAAACUAUUCGUCUUGAUAAUGCUGGAGAGUUUACAUCCCAAGCUUUUAAUGAUUAUUGUAUGUCAAUUGGAAUAAAAGUUGAACAUCCUGUAGCUCAUAUUCAUACACAAAAUGUUUUAGCUGAAUCAUUUAUCAAACGCCUCUAACUAAUAGCUCGGACAUUGCUUAUGAGAACAAAACUCCCUGUUACAGCUUGGAGAUUUGUUAUUUUGCAUGCAGCAGCACUUGUGCGCUUAAGGCCAACAAGUUAUAAUAAGUACUCCCCAUUACAAUUGGCUUUUGGUCAGGAGCCAAAUAUUUCCCAUCUUAGAAUUUUUGGAUGUAUAGUAUAUGUUCCAAUUGCUCUACCACAACACACAAAGAUGGGUCCUCAAAGGAGGUUGGGAAUAUAUGUUGGUUAUGAAUUUCCUUCUAUAAUUAAAUCUGUUGAACCAUUAACUAGAGAUUUAUUUACUGCACAAUUUAUUGAUUGUCAUUUUGAUGAAACAACAUUCCCAACAUUAGGGGAAGAGAAAAUACAACUGGUAAAAAAAAUUACAUGAAAUGAAUCAUUAUUAUCUCAAUUAGAUCCUCGUACAAGUUAAUGUGAAUAAGAAGUUCAAAGGAUUAUACAUUUGUAAAACAUUGCCAAUCAAUUGCCAGAUUUAUUUACUGACCUAAAUAGAAUUACAAAAUCUCACAUACCAGCUGAAAAUGCUCCAAUAUUAAUUGAUAUCCCAAUAAGACAAAUUGUUAGUACAAAAGAAAGUAAUCCACGCCUGAAGCGUGGAAGGCCAAUCGGUUCCAAAGAUAAAAAUCCUCGUAAAAGGAAAUGAUCAAUUAUUCAAGAUGGUAAUAUUGUGGAGGCAAGUGCCCCAAAAGAGGCCAAAGAUAUAACUAAUCAAAAAAACCCUAAAAGAGGUUCAGGUACCUCAAAAUGGUGAUAACGAAUAAAUCUCAAUAAGUUAUGUUACUUCAGGAAAAAGAUGGAACCGAAAAAAUAUAGUUGCCUACAACAAUUUUGCUUAUAAUGUUGCUAUUGAAAUAGCAAAAGAAAAUGAGGAUCCUGAGCUUAAAUUUAUUGAAGAAUGUAGAAAUAGAAAAGAUUGGCCAAAAUGGAAAGACGCAAUUCAAGUAGAAUUAAAUUCGCUUUCUACACGUGAGAUUUUUGGACCUAUAGUCCAAAAACCUAACUAUGUAAAGCCGGUAGGAUAUAAAUGGAUAUUUGUGCGAAAACGAAAUGAGAAAAAUGAGGUCGUAACAUAUAAAUCACGACUUAUAGCACAAGGAUUUUCGCAAGGACCCGGCAUUGAUUAUGAAGAGACAUAUUCUCCUGUGGUGGAUGCAAUCACGUUUAGAUACCUUAUUAGUCUGGCAGUAUGUGAAAAACUUGACAUGCGUCUAAUGGAUGUUGUUACAGCCUAUUUUAUGGUACACUUGAUAGUGAAAUUUAUAUGAAAAUCCCAAAAUGAUUUAAAAUCCCUGAAGGAUAUAGAGUUUCCCGAGAAAAUUGCUCAAUCAGAUUAAAGAAAAGUUUAUAUGGAUUAAAACAAUCUGGACGUAUGUGGUACAAUCGUCUUAGUGAAUAUUUGUUAAAAGAAGGUUGUAAAAAUGAUCCAAUCUGCCAAUGUGUUUUUAUAAAAAGGUUUGAAUCAAACUUUGUAAUAAUUUCUAUUUAUGUUGAUGAUAUAAAUAUUAUUGGAACCCCUGAAGAGCUUCAAAAUACAGUAAAUUAUUUAAAGAAAGAAUUUGAGAUGAAAGAUCUCGAAAAAAUAAAAUUUUGUCUUGGCCUGCAGAUCGAGCAUUUAAAAGAUGGAAUCCAUGUCCAUCAGUCAACUUAUACGAAAAAGAUCUUAAAUAAAUUUUAUAUGGAUAAAGCACAUCCAUUAAGUACCCCGAUGGUUGUAUGAUCGUUAGAUGUGAAUAAAGAUCAAUUUCGUCCUUGUGAGAAUUAUGAAGAGUUUCUUGGUCCUGAAGUACCAUAUCUAAGUGUCAUAAGAGCAUUGAUGUAUCUUGCAAAUAACACAAGACCUGAUAUAGCUUUUGCUGUAAACUUGUUAGCAAGAUUUAGUUCUUCUCCAACACGUAGACAUUGGAAUGGAAUUAAACAUGUAUUUAGAUAUCUUAGAGGGACCAUUGAUAUGAGGUUAUUUUAUUCAAAUGAUUCAAAAUUUCUAUUAGUUGGUUAUGCUAAUGCUGGAUAUUUAUCAGAUCCACAUAAAGGUCAAUGAUAUUUAUCGGAUCCACAUAAAGGUCGAUCUCAAAUGGGAUAUUUAUUUACAUGUGGAGGUACUGCCAUAUCAUGGCGUUCGACAAAGCAAAUAUUAGCUGCUGCCUCUUCAAAUCAUGUUAAAAUAAUUGCAAUACAUGAGGCAAGCCGAGAGUGUGUUUGGCUAAAGGUUAUUAACCCAACAUAUCCAGAAGAUAUGUAAUUUGCCUUUAUAGGAAAAUAUGCCAACUAUCUUAUACAAAGAUAAUGCAGCAUGUAUAGCUCAAUUAAAGGGUGGUUAUAUCAAAGGUGACAGAACAAAACAUAUUUCACCAAAAUUAUUCUUCACUCAUGAUCUUGAGAAGAAAUGUGACAUAGAAGUUCAACAAAUUCGUUCUAGUGAUAAUUUAGCAAAUCUUUUUACCAAGGCAUUGCCAACUUCAACAUUUGAAAGACUACGAAACAAGAUUGGAAUGCGUCGACUUGAAGAUAUAAUGUGAUGUCGUCAUUAAGGGGAGUCCAAAAUACAUUAUACUCUUUUCCUUUAACCAAGGUUUUGUCCCAUUGGGUUUUCUGGUAAAGGUUUUUAACGAUGCAACUUGUAAUAGGAGAUUGUGUACUUUUUUUCCUUCAUUAGGUUUUUAUCCCACAGGGUUUUUUCUAAUAAGUGUUUUAAUGAGGCACGUUCUUAUUUAAAAGACAUCCAAGUGGGAGUGUUGUAAAUUAAAUGGAUGUCUAUAACCCCCUAAGCAUAUUAAAGUAAUAAAAAUCUUUACUUCAUUUAUAAUCAGGAGAUCAUUAAAUGGAGUAAUUAAGAAAAUUUAGUUCAUUAAAUGUAAUUGAAUGUAAAGGAGCUUAUAAAUAGCACAUUGUAAGUGAAAAUACGACAAUGAAAAUUUCUCUUAUAUUUUCAUCUACUUUUAUUUAUUGUUUUAUUAAUUUUUCUAUAACAAUUGAAAAAAUAUAUGAAAAUUUUGAUUUUGAAAACUUAAAACUUUAUAUAAAAAUAAGAGUCUCACUGAAUUAUUUGGCUAAAUGUGAUUAAAAAAUAAUAAUUUUGAGUUUGCAUAAAAAAUUAUAUUAAAAUUGAAGUUCAAAAAUCGAUUACGAAAAGUUUUAGAAACAUUCAAAAUUGAUACAUUGUUAAACACGUAUUAUUUUAAUUUUAAAAAUACGAGUUUAAUUCAUUGUUUAAAUGUAAUAUGAAGACACAAGAAUUUAUCAGCAUUUCUUUUAGAGUAAAUCACAUUAUAUUUAAAAACAAAACCUUCUUAUACUACCCUACUACACAAGCAGGGACGAUGCUGGGUGGUAGGUUCUCCACAGCCUAAAAUGAAAAGUUUUAGUUUUAUUCUAUUAAAAUUUAUAAAUUUAUAAAUUUUAAUUUAAUACAUGAUAAAAUUGUAUUUUUAUCUCUAAAAAUAAUAAAUUUUUUAUUUUAAAUCUUUAAAAAUUUAUAAAAAUAUAAAUUAUUAAAAUAAUAAAAUUAUAUUUUAAUUGAAUUAAUUGGUUUCUUUACAUAAUAACACAAAGUUCAAGUUAUUAUUAUAAUUUUUUGAAGUAUAAUAAAUGCAAUAGAAUAAAAGUAAAAAUAUAAGCGAUUGAUCUAAAAUUCACAUAUCACAAUCUCACGUAAAGAAAUCAAAGAUUUAAUAAUUAUGAUAUAAAAGACUGAAAAUAUAUCAUAAUUAUGAUAUAUCAAAGAUUUAAUAAUUUAUUUCACGCCCAUCUUUGGGCAUGGGCAAAAUGCCUUUAUGCCACAGGACACACACACACACAAAAUAUCUUUUAGAUUAUUUAAAAGUUAUUUUUUUAAAUUAUUAAAUACCCAAAUGAAACAGACAUUUUAAGUUGUAAAAUACUUUUUUAUUUAGUUUUGUUUAUGGUGGGUGAAUAUUUGUUUAAAUAAAAUAUUUAAUAAUUUUUAAUAUAUUUAAAUAACUUACAGCAUGUUUAGUUGGGGGCUUAAGAAUAGAUUUCAGCCCAAUUCGACGGGCCCAUCACUAAACAUUAGUUUGGUUGGGUGUAAUGUUAUUAAAGCCCGAAUCUAUUCAAUGCGUAUUACAGAGAAAAUGUUGAAUAGCCAUUCCGUUCUCUCACCACUGAAUAGUCAUUCGUUCCCGUGUGAAGUAAAAAUUGUUCCCCCUUUUCAAUUUUAGUCCUCACCUCUAACAGAGAAUGAAGAAGCACUAGAGCCAUCAUCUUCUCCCUUAGUUCACAGGUAACUUUCUUUUUUUUUCUCAUCUCUAUGUUUCCCUUUUUCCAUUUGAUUGUAGAAAAUACCUAGGUCAAUCUAUUAUUCGUUCUUUCUUUUUUUUUUCUUCACCUUUUAAGCCAAUAAAACCCUUUGGUUGCAGAGUUGCAAAACUUUUUUUUUUAGCUUUUUCACUGCAUUUCUCAUUUCCCCUAUAUGAACUUUUUGGUAGUUAGAGUCAUCAAAAAGGAAUCAAGAAAUAUCGGAAUGGGGAAAUUUGGGACUUCGAGGACGAAGUGGUGGUGGCAGCGUCGACGGUAAUUUCACUCCCCCUCUCUGAAUUUUUUUCUAUUUAUUGUUAUUUUUAAGCUUAGGGUUCUCAUCUUUGUUUUUUUUAGUUGGAAGCCAAAGACAAUAAACUUUUCAUGCAUUUAACAGAAAUAGUUUCAUAUUCGAAUAAUUAAAGCACGAAGAUUAACAUUUUGUGAAGAAGAAAAAAAACAAAGGCAGUAUUUUGCUUUUAUUGGCAGCGUGAUUAUGUGAAAAUACUGAAGUUGUUUCUUCAUUAGAAACUUCUAAAGAACUAGUGAAAAAGAGGAUUAGAUAGUGCAUGAAAUGCAUUUUGAUAUUUGAUUAUGGUUACACGAAUUAUCAUUCAUUUGGGGAUCAUCUCUAGGAAGAUCUUUUCAGCUUGUGAAAGCAGGUGUGUAUGAUGUCCUGCUUUGAGGUCAAGAUCUCGACAGCCUGUUAAGCAUUACAAGAAAUUAUUGUCUGAAAUAUUCCCCAAGUCUCCUGUGAGUAUCUACUCUCUUUUUUUUUUCUUUUUGGAUUAUACAUUUUGGUAAUAGUGGUCUUGGUGAAACUAGAGAGGAAAUCUUUGUACAUAUUUGGGUUUUUGGUGAUGGCUAUUUAAGUUAGCUUGCUUUUGAGUACUUUAAUUUUUAAUGUGGGGAUAUCAAUAAGGAAUAUUUGAUCCUACAAUAUGCCAAUAAUGUCUGCUAGAGUUUUUCUUUUUGAAUCGGCGCUAGAUUGUUACUGUGAUUAUGGCUAUUCAGUUGGUUACUCGGACUCACCUGUGAGUGCCGGAUACAAGUAUGUGUCUUGUAAAGAUAUGUUCAAUUUUGACAUAAGUUUUUCAUGUAUUUGGAGAUUCAUAUCCUACACUCAUAUUCAUGCAAAAUAAAGAAUUAAGCUACAUAGUUGCCUAGAGUUCUCAGCUUUGACUCUAAUGCCAUUUGAGUACUAUAAUUUCACAAAUAGAAUAAAAAUACACUCCUCUAUAGUUGGUUUUUAUACUUUAAAAGAAAAAAAAACUUAUUCUUUGGUUGGAUCUUGGAAGUAACUAAAGAUUAAGCAAAAUUGUUAGAUGCAGUUAAUUAGCAGUUCAGUUGGUGUAUUUCUGAAGAGUCAUUGUUCAUUUUCUAUUAGUUCAUGCCAUUGUUUUAGAUGUCAAUUUUCUGUACAUUACAGAAACUGUGGCCAAGGAAACAUUAGAUCAAGUUAUGGCAGAUGCACUUUCAAAAUCUGGUUUUACUCAAUCUGCAGCAUACAUUUCAUGUCUUUUUUUCGCAAUGGCAUUUUAAGGAUGCCUUUUUUUUUCUUAUUCCUAGAAUGCUUACAAGUUAUGACUCUUUUCGUGUACUAGAAUACUGUGAGAAAUAUAUCAAGCCUAAAGAUGUUAUAGGAGUAGAAGAAGUGAAGUCAAGUGACAAAAAACUGAGUGAAGAUGAAUAUGCUGCCUCGAAUGAUGAGGAAAUCAUCGGAAAAUAAAUCUUUAGGCAUAUAUUAUGCCCUGCAUACUCAUUAUAGAAAUUGUCUUGUGUUGUACAUGAUGUUCAGCUCCAGGAAAAUUCGAACACGAUAGAACCGGGGAAUAUUUGGAAAAAUUCCUACUUACCCUUUUUUGUCAUUACUUUCCAUGGAUGUUUGUGUAAAUUAAUCCAUUGUUGUUCAAUAAUUCAAAUAUUUAUCUACUGCUGAGACUUUAAAAAACAAUUCUCCCAUAUGCUCCUACUCCUUAUGUGCCUGCAUCAAUUAUACUACCGUUUAUUAUGUUUUGUUAGUGUUCAUUUAUACAUUGGUUGAUCUAACUUUGGUGAUGACUUAUUUGGCUGCCAAUGGAAUUUAUACCUCCCAUAUCUCCUACACUUUAUAGUGGUAUCCAUUUUGCAUGGCUUUUGAUUUGGUCUACAAAUUUUUGGUAGCUAGGGUAGUCUCAUAGAGAAGUUAAAACAUGGGUUUGUUUGGUGUAUAAAUGUUUGAAAAUUUUCAUAUAUAUAAAAAUGAGAAUAAUUAUUGCUUUUGGAUCAAUAUUUGUAAUUUUGGCAACUCCGAUUCUAUGAGAUUAUGUUCUGAUUUUUAUUAAUUCAUAUUUUAAUAAAAAUUAUAUUAAGAAUAUUAUUAAAUUAUAUGUUUUUGUUUUUAUUUAAUUAUAUUUAGUAAUAAUUAUAUUAAAACAUGAUUAAAUUAUUUACUAUUUUAAUAAUAAUCUUAGUAAAGUUUAAUAACAAUAAUUAUGUACUUAAAAAAAUUUGUUAGGAGUACUCUGGUCAUUUUAACUUUUUUUCUUAUACUAUUACAAUAUUAUUCCAUUCAACCAAACACAAGAAUACCAUUACAGUUCUAUUCCAUUCCAUUCAACCAAACAAUUGAAUUAUUGAUUACAAUUCUAUUCCAUUACAGCUCUAUUUAAUUACAGUGAACCAAGCGUACCAUUAGAAUCUUCUCAAUGAGGUAUUGGUUUAUGAGUAACCAUAUUCAAUAGCUAUUAUGUGUAAUUUUGUAUAUAAAUUUUCGAGUCUCUUUAUGUGAGAUUAUCAUAUGUGAAUUUUAGUUCAAUCAAUUAUAUUUCUACUUUUUUUCUACUGCAUUUAUUACACUUUAAAAAAUAAUAAUAAUAACAUCAAGCUUGUGUUAUUAUUUUUUUAUGGAAAGAAAUCAAUUGAACGAAACCAAUCUCACAUGUGGUAAAAUGAGUAUUAAUUGCUAUAUAGACACCAUGAUAAAUACAAGUUGAAUCUAACAUCUAUACAUCAUAAUGUCUAGUUACUAAUGUAACAAGUGAGAAAUCUGAAUCUUCAUCAUCACACUCAGAUAUACUUAAUUUUGUUAUAACUUUCCAUUUGUCAGGUUUACCCUUACUUUUCAUCUUUGGAUAAUUUUGUUGGAUCUUGUUACGCUUCAAAAUAUGAAUAUUUGAUUUGUUAUACUUUCUCAAGUAAUCUUAUUUACUCCGGUGGUUAGCGAUUGGAUGUGUGUUGGGGUCCGGUAGUUAGUGUGGAUUAGUUGUUAGAGACCUAUAAGUAGUGGGUAGUAUUAGAGUAAUGGGGUUUUUAAAUUAGCUAUUUAAUUUUUGUUUUUCUUUUCUUUUCUUUCAAAAUCAAAUUGGAUUUUCCAACUUCUUUCCAAAUUCUUUGGUUCCCACUUCUGUUAUUUUUUUUUUCUUUUUGUGUUCUUUCUUUUCCCCUAUUUCACGUGAGUUUUGGGUUUACAAUUGUUUUCUUUUUACUUGCUGGAUAUUCUUUGAAGGAUUGUGUUGUGAUAGGGUUUUGAAGAAAAUCUGAAGCAAUGUUUAAUGUUGGGUGCCUUUCAUUUUGAAUUUUCCCACUAAACUUACUUUCUCAACUUUAUUUUUAUUCUUUAACGAAAAUAUGAUGCACGCAUUACAAUAUAGUGUUAUGACAUUUAAUUUGGGGUUUAAAAAUAGUUAAUUUCAGUUUAAUUCUGUUUAUCUGUUAAGCUAAUUAAAUUGUAACAAAACGGUACGUCUAAUUAAAUUGUAACAAAACGGUACGUUUUGAGGGAGGGAAUUAGUUAAGUGAAACGGGGCGUUUUACUGUUCAGUUUUGUAACAAAUUGACAGCUAUAAUGACCGUUGUUCUUUUUCUUUUAAGCACCCUUGUGUGUGCUGAGUCUGUUAUGAAAAUACAGUACCAUUUUCUUAUCCUUUCUACCUUCUCUUUGUUAUUUCUCUUUCUUCCUUCUUCCUGCCAUUCUCUCUUCUCUCUUCUUCUUUUCUUCAGUAGCUCGCAUCAAGGUAUCAGAGCUUCUCUUUCCUCAUCGCCAAUGAAAGGGUAACCACCAGGCUUCAAAAAGAGAUGAGUCAACUGCAAUAAAAAUUCACUCAGUUAAAGUCAUAUCUGGACACUAAGAUUGAUGCUAAGUUUCAAUUUUUUCACGAUACUAUAAAAGGAGGAAUUUGAACCAAGAUUCGCACGAGUCUUCAAGCUUUAUUUGAGCAAUACAUGGGGUAGAUGACACCAACCAGUGCUAUUGGGUCUAAUAAGGUAGCUCCAGUGGAGAUGAGGCUGGAUAAGGGGAAAGGUAUCUUAAAAAGUGUCCCCACUGAAGCUCCAAGGAGGAACAGUUGCUACUAUUACCUUUAAGUGAAUCAAGACAAACGAGAACAUGGGUUUGAGGGUCUUCAAAAGAUAGAACUAGAAACUUGUAUAGGUUUAAAUGUCAGCAUUUUGAUGGCAGAGAUUUUUGUGGAUGAUGGUCAAAACUUGAGCAGUUUUUCUUAUCAGAAUGUGUCCGAGACGAGGCGAAGGUGAAUGUAGUCAUGCUACAUCUUGAAGGCAAGGCCCUAGACUAGUACCAUUUUUUUCCAACACCGUAGUGGGUUACAGCAACUGUCAUGGGAGGUUUAUGCUCGUGGACUGAGGACCGGUUUAGCUCAGAUACUCUCCUCGACCCUAUGUCUAAGCUCGUUACUCUGAAGCAACAAGGGUCCAUGACUCAAUUUCAUGACACAUUUGUAAGUUUUCUUAACCAAAUAGAUCUUAUUGGAGAACAUGCGAUUAGUGUGUUUGUUAGUAAUCUCAAACCAGAAAUUGGCCAAUACUUGCGUUUAUUUCCACCUUCCACGCUAAUAGAUGGAUUUCGGUUAGCUCAAAGAGUGGAGAGUAUUAUUUCAGAGCCUAUGAAAUGAACACUCUAUAGCGGGGGAGUUAGGGGAUCAAUUCGACCUCUCUUACCAAAUGUUCGACCCCUCUAAGCAGUUCCUGCUCUUAGCACCACAGGAGGUUCUAAAAGCCCUGUAAAGUCACUGUCUCAAGCUGAAAUAGAUGAUAGAAAAAGGAAGAGGCUUUGUUUCUGGUGUGCUUCCAAAUAUAUUCCAAGACACAAAUUCCAAAAAUCUCAAUUGUAUCAAUUAGUGGUUGAAGUUUCCUCUGAUGGGGAAGCUGAGCCAAAGAGUCCUGAAAUAGAUGAGUUCUAAGAUUGUAAGGAGCAAUUAGAACAAGGGGAGCAGGAACCAGAGGUAACUUCACUCGUACUAUCUUUGCAUGUAUUGCAUGGCUCCCAAGGACACAACACAAUUAGACUGUUAGCUCACAUCAGGCCAAUAGAAGUCAUUAUUCUUGUGGAUUCAAGGAGCACACACAAUUUCAUAGAUUUUAAGUUGGAGAAAUGGUUAAACUUAUCUACUGAGCAGACUACUGCAUUGAAAGCCAUGGUGGCCAAUGGAGUUUGGCUGUCUACUCAAGGAGUUUGCAAGAAUAUACAGUGGGAGGCUCAAGGAUCGACAUUUACCACUGAUUUUUACUUGCUUCCUCUAAAAGGGUGUUAUUUAGUAUCAAAAAUUCAGUGGCUCUUAUCUCUUAGAUCCAUCAUCUAAAAUUUUUCUUCCCUUACCAUGCAAUUCGAAUAUCGAGGUCAAAGUUAUAUCUUACAGGGUAUGGUUCCUGGUCUUCUUCAACUCUUGUUGGACAGUCAAGCUGCUAGAUGUUUCAUAGUCUUGAGCUUUAGUCCCCAGCCUAUGUUGUUCUUUUGUAGCCAACAAAUAAUGCUGACCUUGCCACCAUCUUCAGAACAUCCACUGUUACUCAAACUAUUAGCUGAUUUUGAUGAUGUCUUCUAAGUACCAUCAGGCUUACCUUCCACUCGACUUUAGGACCAUUGUAUCCCUUUGUUCACGAGUAGUCAAAGUGUGACCAUACAGGUACCCCACUAUCCAGGAGAAUGAGAUUGAAAUAUUUGUACAAGACAUGUUGUACGAGGGAAUUAUAAGGGACAACAAUAGUCCCUUUGCAUCACCUAUUGUAAUGGUCAAAAAGAAAUAUGGAAGCUAGCGUUUGUGCGUGAAUUAUAAGCAACUUAACAAUUUAACCAUCAAAGAUAAGUUUCUAAUCCCCAUUAUUGAGGAAUUACUAGAUGAACUUGGCCAAGUUCUCUUCUUUUCUAAACUAGAUUUGCGGUCAGGGUAUCAUCAAAUUCGGAUGUGUGAGAAAGAUGUUCACAAGACAAUGUUUCAAACUCAUGAGGGCCACUACGAAUUUUUGGUCAUGCCAUUUGGCCUCACAAAUGCCCCAUCCAGUUUUCAGGCAUUAAUGAACAUUGUCUUUAAGCCAGUUUUGAGGAAAUUUAUCCUAGUUUUUUAUGACAUCCUUGUUUAUUCAAAAGAUUGGGCUGACUACCUGAGGCAUUUGGAAGUAGUAUUGCAACUACUAUGAGAAAACAAACUCUAUUUAGCGCCCCAAAUCUUACAUUAUUAUUUUUGUAUGUUGUGUUGCAUAAAUGCAUGCUUGCUUCAGUGGUUUAGUGUCCUGAGAAGUGUUGGGGAAGUCCUGAGUUCAAGCGUUGGCUUGACCAAAAUUUUUGUUUUUAAUGGAAUUAAACUUGUCUCUAGUCGGUAGGCUUCUUAAAUAAAAAUGAUUAAAACAUGACAGAAAGGGCUUGCUGGUCUACGGGAUAAGUGGCGUGUUGUGAUGCUUAAAGGUCUUAAGUUCGAGUCCAGCCAUGUGUAAAGGAGUAUUUAUUUUGCUGCUCUUGCCGUGUGGGAAGUUGGGGUUGACCACAACACUGCUAGUUGAGUAGAGUUUGAAUGUGGUGGUUGAGGAGAUAAUUGUGGAGUGAUUUGAGGAGAAUUAUGUGGGAUUUAAAAGUGGUGGAGUUGUAGCCCAAUAGGUACUUUGACCACUCAGGAAAUUAGGCUGUGGGUAGGUUUUAGUACGCUAUUUCAGGUUUUGGGGGAACAUUUUUGGGUUCUUUUCUCUUCUCAUUUUCAGCUUCUAACAAGUGGUUUCGGGUUAUUUCACUAAUUUCCUUGGUAGCCGAAUUCUGCUAGGGGAUUUUGCUGGUAAUUUUCAUUUUGUCCAUUUUCGGUUUUGCUCUUCAAUUUCAAUGCCCUACUGACCAUUUGUGCUUUUCUCCCUCUACCUCUUAAGCAAUCACAUUUUUCCUUCUUGCCUUGUUGUUAGCCGAAUACCUCCCAUCUCUCUCUCAACUCUUUCGAUUUUGUUAGCCGAUUAUCUUCUCCUUUUCUUCCCUUGUUCUUAUAGACCGAUUGUUCUCAUUCUCUGUCUCUCUUAAUUGGUUAAUUCUUGACCGAUUUCCCCUUCCUUUUUUGCUCUCUCAAUUGGUUGUUUUUGACCGAAUUCUACCCAUUUCUUUUACCCUCACUGUGCCUAUCUUCUUCCACUGCUCUUUGUCAAUUUUGGGGGUAGUUACAAGUGCCUGGUUUGGUGUUUCGGUAAGACUAACUCUUGGUUUAGUUCAAACUAUGUUUUUGAUUAGGCGUUAACAAGAGGUUGUUUGAUUUACAGUUGUAACUGAGGGCUUGUGUCAUCGUCCUCUCUCGAUUGAUAAGGUGAAAAAGACUUCGAUUGUCCCAUCAAGGUAAGGGGGUUAACAAUUGGAUAAUUUCAGAGUAGUAUAAUAGUAUUAUUUUGAUGCUGACUUAUUACGUGUUUACCUAUGUUUAGUUGGUAUACAAGAGCUUGUCGAAGGAGAGGGAAAAGAUCAUCUGUUGGCGUUAGGGUGGACAGAUCCCCUCUCGUGGCUUGUUUAAAGGUACGUUAUUGUGUGGAUUCAACGAAUAAGUUAGUUGUGUGCAUCUGAUUGGGUGUUCGAUUAAGUGAGUGAUUGAAGAUCAUUGUUAAAUGUAGGGUUUAUAAGUGCGAGCAGUUUCUUCUCUCGACAAAUAGAAGCAAGGUGUGUAAAACACUACCUCUAUUCGUCAAUCAGCAAAAGUCAGAAUAAGUGACCGAUAACGCUACACGAGUGUGCCUUGCUCGUAUGGUAAACCGAACGCCUAGACAUGGGCGUAAGAUCUUUGAGGCCGACCAUGAGUGAUUUCAUGGGCCGAGUCUAAUUUAGGCCAUUUGGGCCGAAAUGGGCCGCGUAGGCCCCACACAGGUAAACCACAUGAAAGUGUGGAGAAUAUUGAGUCAGGCUGUGUAGUUCAUAUGGCCAAGGCCAUUUCUGGGCUAAGUGAGCCAUACGGGCGUGUAGGCCCACAUGGGCUCGUAUUAUAGGCCUUGGGCCUACUUUUACUGUUUGACUGUUAAUGUUGCACGGGUCGCUCGAGACGACUGUGGACCUACUGUUGGGUCGGUAAGUGCACCUAGACCCCAACUUGAUAAAUGACUGUUAUGCCCUUAUGUGGUAGAAUGACUAUUAUGCCCUUAUAAGAUGUAUGACUGAUUGAACAUGCCAUUUUAUAUAUGUUGCAUACAUGCAUGAUAUUAUGAUAUGUUGCAUGGGGAUGGGUUUAUUAUGAUUGGAGGAAGUGUACUGUACUGCCAGCUCUGCUGCAAAUACUGUUAGUGCCGUAACCGGUGCUAUUUUAGAGUGUAGGGAUGGGUGGGUUGAUUUUAUCCCCACAAGAAGUGUAGGGCUGGACGGAGUGGAGUGUAGAGGCUGGCUGGGUAAGAUUGCUGAUUGCAUAUCUGUACUUUUACUAUUACUGAAAUGGGCUAAGGCCAACACUGAUACUGAUACGGUAAUGGGCUAAUGCCCUAAUUGAAACUGAACUGUUACUAAUAUGGGCUUAAGUUCAGAUUGUAUUUGCCUACUGUAUGAUUGACUGUUUGCACUUAGGGAUUACACACUGAGUUUUCAUAAACUUACCCUACUACUUUUCUGCGCAAGUAAUCUCUAGGAGGACCGAUGCUACGAGGGACUCGAAAGUGGCCACACAACUGCAAUAGCUUACGCAUUCGACAUUUUAUUUACAAGUAAUUUAAUUUGGAUAUUUGUUAUGUAAUAAUGCCUCUUUAAUUUUUUUAACGCUUAAUUUGGGAUUUUAUAUAUGUUGAUUCAUAUCUGUUAGUAGUAGGAUGCGGGUUUUCAAAAAAUAAAUAUUUUUCAAAACACUACGUUUAAGCAACAUAUUUUAAAAGCUUCUGCAACAAACAAUGUUUUAAAAUGUAAUAACAAAUUAAUAUGGUUAACCCUUUACUAUACGACUUGAGUUUCAACAACGAACGAGACAUCCUAAAUUUUUGUUAAGAUCACAAAGAGGUUUAACAUAGAACGGGCUUUUCAACGGCAUUGUAUUUUUUUCGAAAAAUACUUCAAUGUGGCAUCGCUAGAUUCGACCAUAACGUAUAGGCCGGGUUUGGGGUGUUACACUCUAUGCCAAGAAAAACAAAUGUAGCUUUGCCAUUGCUCAGGUUGAAUAUCUAGGACAUGUUAUAACAGUAGGGACUGUCAGCAUGGAUUCCUCGAGGGUUGUAGGAGUUCUUUCCAGGCCCAUACUUCAAAACAUUAAGGAACUUAGAGGAUUUUUGGAGUUAUCGGGGUACUAUAGGCGGUUCAUUCGAAGGCCCAACCUCUCACUUCACUUUUAAAAAAGUACCAACAAUGACAUUGGACAAACUCUUCCCAAAUAGCUUUUCAAGCUCUUAAAGACGCUAUUUACACUGCACUAGUUGUAGUUCUUCCAAAUUUUGGUGAACCCUUUUGUGUAAAGACCGAUGCCUCUGGUACUGGCGUUAGAGCUGUGUUACAACAAUGAGGGAAACCAAUGGCGUUUUUUAAUAGGUCCUUAGGCAUUAAACACCAAGCAUUGUCUAUAUAUGAUAAGGAGAUGUUGGUUGUGUUGCUCGCUGUUAAGAAAUGGCACUCGUAUCUUUUUGGGAAAUCCUUUGUCAUCAAAACAGACCACCAAAGUUUGAAGUUUUUAUCUGAAAAAUAGGCCAUUAUUCCAUAUCAACAAAAGUGGGUGUCUAAAAUGCUGGUGAUUGAUUAUUCCAUUGUUUAUCGAAGGGGAUCUCAGAAUAUUGUGGCUGAUGCUUUAUCCAGAAGGACUCAACUGCCAAAGGGUCAAUUCCAUCAGUGUUUGGGAACAGUGUCACUUACGUGGUUUGAACUUUGGGACAAAAUUCUCCAAGCUACAAUUGAAGAUGUCAAGCUACAGCAGUUGUCCAACGACUUGUCAGAAAAACCCCAACACCAUCCCAAGUAUACAUUGGAUGGCUUAUUUAUUAAGAGAAAAGGGAAGGUUGUAAUUGGCCACAACAUAGAACUAAGGAAAGCAAUUUUCGAGCUAUUCCAUAAUAAAGCUAUUGGUGGCCAUUCAAGAGUGCAUGCUACUAGGCAUCGCAUAAGUAGCUUCUUGUACUGGAAAGAGUUAUCGAGAGAUGUCAAGCAGUGGGUUCAAGAAUGCACCACUUGCCAACAGUACAAGCAUGACAAUGCUGCAUAUCCUGGAUUAUUGCAACCAUUGCCAAUACCUGAUCGAGCAUAGGUUGCUGUCAGUAUGGACUUUAUAGAAUACCUUUGUUUGUCUAAAGGUAAAAGUACUAUCUUGGUAACAGUUGAUAGACUAACCAAGCAUGCCCAUUUCCUAGCCUUGGCACACCCUUUUACUAUUGCGAGUGUUGCUCAACUUUACUUAGACCAGAUGUAUAAGCUUUAGGGCAUUCCUGAAUCCAUUGUAUCUGACAAAGAUCGGAUCUUUCUUAGUAGAUUUGGGCAAGAACUCUUCAAAUUACUUGGCACUCGAUUGUACCUAUCCACAGCCUAUCAUCCACAAACAGAUGGGCAAACAGAAGUCCUCAAAUAGGUGUCUUGAAGGUUAGUUGCACUGUAUGACUGGUGAGAAACCCUCUGAAUAGGUUUAUUGGCUACCUUUAGCUGAAUGGUGGUACAACACGACUCACCACUCAGCUAUCAACACCACUCCAUACAUGGCCCUCUAUGGUCAGGAACCCCCCAACCAUUUACCAUAUUUACCAGGAUCUUUGAUGGUAGCCAAGGUGGACAAAACACUUCAGCAUCAAGAAGCCUUAAGGAAGCUCCUUCGGUUUCACUUGAAAAGAUCUCAAGAGCGUAUGAAACAAUUCGCUGAUAAAAAAAGAUUAGAUCGAUCAUUCGCAAUUGGGGACCUUGUAUAUCUGAAGCUACAAACUUACAAACAGCAUUCGCUGAAGAAGAUGCGCAAUCUGAAGUUGUCCCCUAGGUUUUAUAGCCCCUACCCUAUUGAAGCCAAAGUUGGUCAGGUGGCUUACAGAUUGAAGUUACCUGAGGGAGCAAAAAUCCAUUCCACAUUCCACGUGUCCCAGUUAAAGAAACAUAUUGGCUCAGCUGUUUAUUCACCAGCAUUGCCACCUGUUGGAACAGAUGGCUCAAUUCUGAAAGAACCAGCACGCAUCAUUGAUAAGCGGAUGAUCAAAAAGAGAAAUUAUGCGGUUAUUAAGGUGUUGGUGGAGUGGGCAGACACUUUUUUGGAAGACUCAACUUGGGAAGUUUAGUUAGAAUUCCAGAAGCAGUGUCCUACCUUCGAUCAUUGAGGACAAGGAUCUGCUUAAGAGAGAGAGUAUUGUAACACCCCUAUACCAUGUUCGACUCAAGGAACCUGAUAUAGUAUUAUUACAUUUGGUGCCAAAGUAAUUCUUGGCUAAUCACUAAUAUAUUAGAACAUAAAAAUAGACACUUGGAACAUACUUAGUAUUUUUCCUAAGUACAUGCCAUUCUAUUCAAAAUUUUAAAACAUACCUUGUUGUUGCUUGAAGAUGUGAUGAGAUGAAAGCCUGCAAUCUCAAAAUUCAACUCUUCAAAAAUUCAUGUACCUAAUCUGCGCAUGGAAACAAACCGUACGCUGAGUAUACAUCCAGUGGUAUAACUAUAAUUCAAAUACUUAAGGUAAAACAAUAUAUAUACACAUUAAAUCUUACCACUAUUUUACUUUUAAUAAAUUAUUCAUGCAUUUAAACUUUAAAUUUUCUUAGUAAUAUGUAUCUUAAAUAACUUUUCUUCAUUUUAAUUUAUAUAUCUUCUUACUACAUCAAUAUCCAUUUUAUGCAUUUCAUCAAUAACCAUUUCAUAAAUUAUUAUUUCAUAAAUUUCAUUUCUAUAUCUCAAUUUAAUAACUUAUUCUCAAGAUAAUAUUAAUUUCUAUUCAUAAUCAAUCAAUAACAAUCAAUUGUUCAGUAUAAUCAUUCUGUAGUCAUCAAUUAUUCAGUAACAUUAGUCUUUCAAUAAUUAUUUAAACCAACAUUUUUCAAUAAUAAUAAUAAUAAUAAAUUCAUAUGAUUAUAUUCAAUUAACUCAUAAACUAUUUCAUUAUUUCCUAUUCAUUCUAUUUUCACUUCUUAUUUCGAUAUCUCAAUUUCAAUUCAUAAUUUCAUUUUCUCAUACUUUCAAUAGUUCAAUCGAUCAAAUUCAUUCGAUUUUCUCAUUUCAUUUAUUCAACUGAUUUCAAUAUCGAUAAUUCGAUAUUUAACAAUUUCAUGAACCUUAAGUUCAUGCUUCAAAUUUCAUGUCUCAAUUCAAUUCACAAUUCAACUCAUAAUUUCUUUAUCAUAUUUUUAAUAAUAUGAUUAAUCAAAUUUAUUUAAUUUUCUCAUUUCAGUUAUUUACCCUAUUAACAAACUCGGACCUUGGCGGAUACACGGAUUCAACCAACACACCAGUACAGCACUCAACACCUCAUCGGCUUUGCCGAAGUAAAUAGUAACAGUACAGUACUCAGUACCUCAUCGGAUUAAACCAAAGUAAUAGUAAUAGUACGACACACAAGGUGCCUCGUCGACUUAAAGUCUAAGUAACAGUACGAAACUUGUAGUGCCUUAUCGACUCAAGGUCGAAGUAUCCCUGAACACUUCCAAUCCUAUGGCAUGCCAACUAUAUCCGACUCAGCCCGACUAGUUAAUAGGGUAUUCAAUUUAUUUUUCUAUUUCGAAUUCACUUUAAAUUCAAUCACAAUUCAAUUCAAAUUCACUUUUUCACUUUCUAAUCAAUAUACAAUUCAAUACCAAUACAUAUUUCAGAUAAGCACAUAUAAUCAUACUUUGAUUCAAUUGAAUCCACUUUUCAAUCAAUACACAAUUUACAUAUUCACCAUAUUCAUAAUUUAAUUUACUUUUAUUCAAUUCAUAUUUUGGAUUCAUUUUCCAAUCAAGUUCCAAUCACUAAUCACUUUUCAAUUAAUAUACAUUUCAAAUAAUCAUAUAUUUUCUUCAUUCAAUUCAUUUUGAUUCAAUUCAAAUCACUUUUAAUUUCAAAUUUGUUCACAUUUAAUUUCAAUAGCCAUAAACACUUUUAAAUCAAUUUCAUUCAAAUCAAUAUCAUUAUUUCAAUUACUUUCCUAAAUUUAUCUACCAUGCAUUUUAAUUAAAAUAUAACAAUUAAUAAUAAAUAGAUUUGAAUUAUAGUAAUACAAAUCCGGAUUUAUUCGAUUACUCCUCGACAACUUUUUUCUUUCCUUUCGAUGCCGAUGCCUCGGGUUCCUUGUUAGCUGCGAAAAUUAAAAUUAUUAUACCAUUAAUUACAGCACUAAUUAUAACAAAUAAUUAAAUUUCUAUUCAAUUUACACCUUAUUUUCAAUUAGGUCCUAAUUAACUCAUUCACUUUACUAACUUAAUUCUUACUUCAUUCUUAUUCAAAUUCCUAUCAAAUUCAAUCUAACUAUCAAGUAUUCAUAAUAAAACCCUAAUUUAAAAUUUCUUUCAAUUUAAUCCUUCAAUCACAAAACUUAUAGCUGCUUUUACAAUUUAAUCCCUUUAUCACUUCUAACUUGAAAUUCAUUCUAAACCUCUAAUUCAUAUUUUUGUUCAACAUGAACUAUAUUUGAAAACCUACGAACUUCCAAAAUAUUAACUUAAUUUCAUCAAAACCUUGUUUUAAAACUUCAAAAAUAUCAAAAUUAAGUAAAAAGGACUUAAUUGACUUACCUUUUAAAGCUUAAAGCUUCAAAUCCCUAGUUUUUCCUUUUUCUUUUCUUUUUCUCCUUUCUUUCUUUCUUUCCCGUUUGCUAUUCUUUUCUUUAUUUUCCUUCCCUUUUUAUUUACUUUAAAUUUUUUAUAUAUAUAUUAUAAUAAUUACUAUAAUAAAUAUCUAUUUAAUAACAAAUAUUUAUAUUACAUUUGUACACACAUAUAUUUUACACUUGUCUAUCAUCAUCACCAUCCAAUUGUCCUUAUUUUGUUUAUUUUAUUAUAUAAAAAUCUUAUAAUAUAAUUUUUUUAAAUUAAUUUAACAUAAUUUAUAUCUAAAUAAUUAAUUAUAUAAUUAAAAUAUAACAUAAAAAUCUUAGAUUUCAUUUCUUGUUAAUGGCUUAAUUGACAUUUUAAUCCUUUUUAUUUUCUUUUAAUCUAUAAUUCAACUUUUACCCUUUAUUCAUUUUAGUCAUUUUUCCUAAUUACUCUUAAUUAAGCUAAAUUCACCUAAUUAGAACCUAAUUAGGUACACCACUAGUUUCAUAAAUGUUUCUAAUAAUUAUUUACGAACUCAUUUCACUAAAACGGAAGCUUAAUAUUGCAUUUUUCCGAUGCCGUGAAUUUUAGGUCAUUACAAGUAUUGUUAUGGCUUUUAAUUUUGGGGGUUAAAAGUAGCUAAUUUCUGUUUAAUUAUGUUUAUUUGUUAAGCUAAUUAAAUUGUAACAAAACGGCACGUUUUGAAGGAGGGAAUUAGUUAAGUGAAACAGGGUGUUUUGCUAUUCAAUUUUGUAACAAAUUGACAGCUGUAAUGACCAUUGUUCUUUUUCUUUUAAGCACCCUCGUGUGUGCUGAAUCUGUUAUGAAAAUACAGUACCAUUUUCUCAUCCUUUCUACCUUCUCUCUGUUAUUUCUCUUUCUUCCUUCUUCCUCCCAUUCUCUCUUCUCUCUUCUUCUCUUCUUCAACAGCUCGCAUCAUAUAGCAGCUAUGGCAGAGGGGCUGCUAAUUUGAACGUAAAAAUCUACUUCUUCAUCUACUUUGCUUUCUUUUAUAUUUCUUUCUUAGUUUUUUGUCAUAUAUUAAUUUUUUGGUUCGUCUCUGUUUACAGCUUAUGUUCAUCGAGUGCUUAUAUUCAGGGCAGAGGCGGAUAAAGGGAGGCUGGCAGGGGCCCUGACUCCCCUUAAAAUGGAAAUUUUUAAUUUAAGCCCUUGAAAUUUUUUUAAAAUUUUAAAUUGCUAAAGUUAAAAUUGCACUUUGGCUCCCCUAAAAUUAUAAAGAUUCGAUUUAAUUUUUUAAAAAUUAUAAAGAUUCGAUUUAAUUUUUUAAAAAUUAUAAAGAUAUAGGCUAUAAAAAAUUAAAAUUUUAUUCGGCCCCCUAAAAAUUUGUUCUGGCUUCGGGCUAGCAGGGCUCGGCUUUCUUAAAGUGAAAUUUGUUUUUAUUUUGAUAUUUUUAAAAUAUUUAAAAUUUUAAAUUAGUAAAGAUAAAAUUAUAUUUAGGCCUCUUGAAAAUGAAAUAAAAUUAUAUUUAGGCCUCUUGAAAAUGAAUUUUUUUAUUUAAUCUUUUAAAAAUUAUAUUUUUACAAUCGUAAAAAUUACAAUUUAAUUUCGACCCCUAAAAUAUUUUUCUGACUUCACCCAACUUAUGUUAAUCACGAGAUAAUGAUUUGCUCUUCGAUUUUUUUUUUUAAAUCUGAAGAAAUCUGAGACUAAGACGUUAAUACUUGACAGCGAAGUUAACUAUUUUAUUCGCAGCAGUUUGAUAUAAACUUAGAAAUAAUAGUGGGUUAAUAUACAAUUCAAUACCUGAGUUGGGUUACUUUUUUCAAUUUGAUACUUGAGUUUCUUUUUUUUCCUAAUUUGGUUCUUGAGUUUGGUUCAUGGUUCACUUUGGUACUUGAAUUUGGCUUCAAUGUUCAAUUUGGCACCUAGAUCUAAAGGUUCAAGUGCUAAAUUAAACAUUAAAGCUAAACAUAGAUACCAAAUGGCAUAUUAACCACCCGAAAAAUAAUUGCACUUAUGUCAUAAUGGCUGCCAACUUUUGUGCCUAUUGCAGCAUGUUGAAGUACCAAUCCCAACUCCAAAUCAAGGUGAAGUUUUGGUUAAAUUGGAGGCAAUUAGUCUAAAUCCAAUUGACUGGAAAAUGCAGAAAGGGAUAUGGUGCCCAUUUUCACCAAAAUAUUUCCCCUACAUACCUGUUACUUUAUAUAUAUUUUACUCUUUUCAUCUGUUUUGGUCUUGAAAUAUUCUUGUGACUCUUUUUCUUCUGUUAACCAAGGUUAUUGUUAAAAGGACAGAUUUUGUCCAUUUGAGGAUAAUCCCUUUGGUUUAUUAACCAACAAGAUAAUAUACUGGUUGACAGAUCUCUUAGUUUAACUGGUUGAGGUUAUCUUUGUUAGUAAAUAUUGCACCAAAUUGAUGAAUCAUAAAUAUGAGUUAAAUAGUUUGAUUUUUCACUGUGUAUAGCACAUCCCGGAAUUUAGCAAGUUUUUCCAUCAUAAAACGGGAGUAGGAAUAAAAAAUACUCGACAAUCUCAAAAGAAUGGAAAGAACGAGUGCAAGGGGAAUGAUAAAAUUUGUUAACGUGUGUAAAUUGUGAAAGCGACCCAGGGUAUUAUAGGACUUCAACCAGCUAAAAAUGGCAAAAAUUGGUGGAGUAAAAAGUGGAUUUGAUUUAACCAAGAAUAAUUUAAAAAUGAUUCAAUGAAUGUAGGCGAAUGGAGAGGAGGAGCGAGAGGAGAACUGGAGAAGGAUAGAUUUAUAUUACGAAAGUGAACAGAGUAUUCAUAAGAUUUCAACUAGUUAAAAAUAGCAAAGAUAAGUUGAGUAAAAGGGAAAUUUGAGUAGCCAAAAUUAGUUUAAAAAUAGUUAAUGAUUCAUGGAAUUUAGACUUAGCACAACAUACAACAUGUAGGGAGAAAACUACCAAUUUAAAAUAUAUUGACUUUUUGGACCUAAUUUUCGUACAUGCAUAUUCAUCCUCUCAACUUGGUUUGUAUUAGUCUAAACGUGGGAUUCGGACGUUCUUUUAAAAUUUCACAGUUUUUCAAACAAGGUAAAUUUAUGGCAUACAUGAAAGAUUGCUAUCUCAAAAGAAAAAUUGGCUAGCAAUAUAUACCAUUUAAAGUUAAGUAAUAUUAAAAGAAUCUAACUUUAAAUCAUCAGUAAGUAAUGCAGUUUUCUUUGUUGAUAUUGGGAUUGCCCCUUUUUAAUCAUUAGCUAAAGAACAAUAUGUUCAUUUCUUCUUGUGCAGCUACUGAUGUAGCCGGAGAAGUCAUAAAGGUCGGACCGAGAGUUACAAAUUACAAAACCGGGGACAAAGUUGUAGCUAUGCUUAAUCAUCCUGUAAGUGUUCAUUCUUGUUCUUCUUCCUUUUGCUAUGGCUAUGUUAUGAUUAUAUUCGCAAUCAUAGACUGGAGGCGGACUAGCUGAAUAUGCAGUGGCUAAGGACAACUUGAUAGUUUUAAGGCCACCGGAAGUAUCAGCAGCCGAAGGUGAAAGUUUGCCCGUUGCCGGUCUUGCAGCUCUCCAGGCAGUUACUGAGUCAGCCGGGGUCAAGCUCGACGGAACUGGCCGGCAUGUAAACCUCUUGAUUACUGCUGCUUCAGGUGGUGUAGGUCAAUAUGCAGUUCAACUAGCAAAGCUUGGAAACACACAUGUGACAGCCACUUGUGGUGCUCAUAACUUGGAUUUAGUCAAGAGCCUCGGAGCAGAUGAGGUUCUUGACUAC